UGGGGAAUAUUGGACAAUGGGCGAAAGCCUGAUCCAGCCAUUCCGCGUGUGUGAAGAAGGUCUUCGGAUUGUAAAGCACUUUAAGUUGGGAGGAAGGGCAGUAAGCGAAUACCUUGCUGUUUUGACGUUACCGACAGAAUAAGCACCGGCUAACUCUGUGCCAGCAGCCGCGGUAAUACAGAGGGUGCAAGCGUUAAUCGGAAUUACUGGGCGUAAAGCGCGCGUAGGUGGUUCGUUAAGUUGAAUGUGAAAGCCCCGGGCUCAACCUGGGAACUGCAUCCAAACCUGUCGAGCUAGAGUAGGGCAGAGGGUGGUGGAAUUUCCUGUGUAGCGGUGAAAUGCGUAGAUAUAGGAAGGAACACCAGUGGCGAAGGCGACCACCUGGGCUCAUACUGACACUGAGGUGCGAAAGCGUGGGGAGCAAACAGG
RNAcentral lists this ribosomal RNA (429 nucleotides) under Pseudomonadota bacterium. Its description in RNAcentral is "Proteobacteria bacterium partial 16S ribosomal RNA". It matches the Rfam family "Bacterial small subunit ribosomal RNA", at positions 355 to 776 of the family's 1533-position model. Lineage: Bacteria; Pseudomonadati; Pseudomonadota. The record is from RNAcentral.